RNAcentral lists this ribosomal RNA (200 nucleotides) under uncultured bacterium. RNAcentral describes it as "partial 16S ribosomal RNA". It matches the Rfam family "Bacterial small subunit ribosomal RNA", at positions 29 to 258 of the family's 1533-position model. The record is from RNAcentral.
AACGAACGCUGGCGGCAGGCUUAACACAUGCAAGUCGAGCGCCCCGCAAGGGGAGCGGCAGACGGGUGAGUAACGCGUGGGAAUCUACCUAUCUCUACGGAAUAACCCAGGGAAACUUGGACUAAUACCGUAUACGCCCUUCGGGGGAAAGAUUUAUCGGAGAUGGAUGAGCCCGCGUUGGAUUAGCUAGUUGGUGGGGU